CCAGCUGCCCAGGAGGAAGCCUUGAAUCUGUGGCAGUGGAUUGAGCUAGAAAUGUGACAGGAAGGCACUCAUAAAGGCUGGAAGAAGCUGUUGGGUGUACUUGAAGGCAGAAAGCCAACACUGACACCUCCCUCAGAAGAAAGUGAGGAGUAAGGAAUACCAGCUCAGAGAAGAGGAUUUGCAUGGAUAGGAAAGAAGCUGGGAUGGUAAAAGACAAAUGAAACUAAUUACAACAUUGAAAAGCCCCUCAAGAUGGUGUCACAGCCAACUGCAGCUUUCGUGGUUUGUUGCUGAAUGCACUUUCUCUGCUUCUGUGCUGCUCCUUCCAAAGAAGACCACCAAAUCUUGCUUGCCUCACUGGGUAGGACAUACUCUGCAUUUUUAUGACCUGAUGCUUUCUGCUAAAUACAUGAAGUUCAAAUCUGCGACAGCUCCCCUGACUUCAAAAGUAAAUGUAUAACUUUUUAAACAAGGCAGGUCAGAAACAAGAAGCAAUCCUGCUGCAGCAGCAUACUUCUGAACAAGGGGUGGUUUCUUCUCUUCCCUUGAUAACUAAAAUACAAGACAAUUUGCAGCGGUGUCACUGACUCUCAUAAGUGCUCCAGAUCUCUGAUGCCUCUCACCCUCAUUUAUAACAGAGAACAGCAGAAUAAUACUCCUAGUUGAUUUGGUAGUGUAAUGAAGAAUCCUCAUGCACAGCAGUGGAGAAGCCAGGCUUGCACUUCUAGAGUAUAAAAUUACUGAUAAGCAAUUCUCCCUUUCCCCAGCUAUCUGAUGUAACUGAGAUACGGAGGGAUGAGGUUUCAACUUCAUGGCUCUGUUCCUGGACUUCAGCCUUUCACAGUAUGCAAACUCAUGAUCUUACUACUCAAGGAGUUGAUUUCUUCAGGAAUUCUUCAGAGAUUCAAAGUGCAGAUAGGACAGCGCACUGUGCCUGAACUGAUUGCAGGCAAAUUCUAAUAAGUGGAUGGGAAAGUCUUUAACUGCUUUGUUUGCUUUCAAAAGGCAUUUUGCUCAAUCUGGUGUGAUGAGUCAAGAACUGCUUUUACUGUUUGGACAAGAAAUCAUUCAUCCAGCUCUUAGAAUUACAUUUGAAGAGACUUAAUCAUCAGUCCUGCCAACAGCAAGCUAAGACUCUGUCAGCACUCUACACUAUGCAGACCUGACAACAAGGCACUUCGGUCACAUCUAAUGUUUGUAGAUAGGCUGCAGCUCUUUGCAAUGCAUUGCAGGAGCCAGUGGCAUCAACAGGGUGCUCUCACUACUUCCUUGGCUGAUUCCCCACCUGCCUUGGUACAAGCAACAUGUUUGCCAAAGAUGACAAGCUCUGUGGUGUGGUCAGCAUGCUGGAGGGAAGGGAUGCCAUCCAGAGAGAACCUGACAGAC
Molecule: long non-coding RNA, 1386 nt
Organism: Pogoniulus pusillus (Red-fronted tinkerbird)
Lineage: Eukaryota; Metazoa; Chordata; Aves; Piciformes; Lybiidae
Exons: 3
Source: RefSeq, a predicted model, not a curated record